UACGAAGGUCCCAAGCGUUGUUCGGAAUCACUGGGCGUAAAGAGUGCGUAGGCGGCGCGGAAAGUCAGAUGUGAAAUCCCGGGGCUCAACCUCGGAACGGCAUCCGAUACUCCCGCGCUAGAGGACUGGAGAGGAGUCUGGAAUUCACGGUGUAGCAGUGAAAUGCGUAGAUAUCGUGAGGAACACUAGUGGCGAAGGCGAGACUCUGGACGGUUCCUGACGCUGAGGCACGAAGGCCAGGGGAGCGAAGGGG
Molecule: unclassified non-coding RNA, 253 nt
Filed under: uncultured Verrucomicrobiota bacterium
Lineage: Bacteria; Pseudomonadati; Verrucomicrobiota
Description: uncultured Verrucomicrobia bacterium contains 16S-23S intergenic spacer region
Rfam family: Bacterial small subunit ribosomal RNA
Source: RNAcentral